This 467-nucleotide ribosomal RNA is filed under the name uncultured bacterium. Its description in RNAcentral is "partial 16S ribosomal RNA". It matches the Rfam family "Bacterial small subunit ribosomal RNA", at positions 29 to 507 of the family's 1533-position model. The record is from RNAcentral.
ACGAACGCUGGCGGCUUGCUUAACACCUGCAAGUCGAACGGAAAGGCCCUGCUUUUGUGGGGUGCUCGAGUGGCGAACGGGUGAGUAACACGUGAGUAACCUGCCCUUGACUUUGGGAUAACUUCAGGAAACUGGGGCUAAUACCGGAUAGGAGCUCCUGCUGCAUGGUGGGGGUUGGAAAGUUUCGGCGGUUGGGGAUGGACUCGCGGCUUAUCAGCUUGUUGGUGGGGUAGUGGCUUACCAAGGCUUUGACGGGUAGCCGGCCUGAGAGGGUGACCGGCCACAUUGGGACUGAGAUACGGCCCAGACUCCUACGGGAGGCAGCAGUGGGGAAUAUUGCACAAUGGGCGGAAGCCUGAUGCAGCAACGCCGCGUGCGGGAUGACGGCCUUCGGGUUGUAAACCGCUUUCGCCUGUGACGAAGCGUGAGUGACGGUAAUGGGUAAAGAAGCACCGGCUAACUACGUG